UGAGGGGAAGCCGAAAACCUUGGAAGAGAGUAGGCG
RNAcentral lists this non-coding RNA (36 nucleotides) under unclassified sequences. RNAcentral's name for it is "DUF805b RNA". It matches the Rfam family "DUF805b RNA". Rfam says of the family: Bacteroidetes, Chlorobi (1 example), Proteobacteria. The record is from RNAcentral.